Molecule: ribosomal RNA, 255 nt
Filed under: Salmonella enterica subsp. enterica serovar Anatum
Lineage: Bacteria; Pseudomonadati; Pseudomonadota; Gammaproteobacteria; Enterobacterales; Enterobacteriaceae
Description: partial 23S ribosomal RNA
Rfam family: Bacterial large subunit ribosomal RNA
Source: RNAcentral
UUACGAUUGACGGAGCGAAGCGACGUCAAAGCGUAUACAAAGUCGAGUCGGUUUAAGGAUACGUUCGUUGGGUAGGGGAGCGUUCUGUAAGCCUGUGAAGGUGGCCUGUGAGGGUUGCUGGAGGUAUCAGAAGUGCGAAUGCUGACAUAAGUAACGAUAAAGCGGGUGAAAAGCCCGCUCGCCGGAAGACCAAGGGUUCCUGUCCAACGUUAAUCGGGGCAGGGUGAGUCGACCCCUAAGGCGAGGCCGAAAGGC